AAUGAACGUUGGCGGCAUGGAUUAGGCAUGCAAGUCGGGGGAAUCCCAGCAAUGGGGGAACCGGCGUAAGGGGCAGUAAGGCAUGGGUACCUACCUUGGGGUUCGGGAUAGCCAUCAGAGAUGGUGGGUAAUACCGGAUGACGUCGUGAGACCAAAGAUUUAUCGCCCUUAGAGGGGCCCAUGUGAUAUUAGCUAGUUGGUGGGGUAACGGCCCACCAAGGCGAAGAUGUCUAGCGGGCGUGAGAGCACGACCCGCGCCACUCGCACUGAGACACUGGCGAGACACCUACGGGUGGCUGCAGUCGAGGAUCUUCGGCAAUGAGCGCAAGCUUGACCGAGCGAUGCCGCGUGAGCGAUGAAGGCCUUCGGGUUGUGAAGCUCUUUAGUGGGGGAGAAAAGCCGCAAGGUGUGAUCUAUCCCAAAAAUAAGCACGGGCUAAGUUCGUGCCAGCCGCCGCAGUAA
RNAcentral lists this ribosomal RNA (462 nucleotides) under uncultured bacterium. RNAcentral describes it as "partial 16S ribosomal RNA". It matches the Rfam family "Bacterial small subunit ribosomal RNA", at positions 29 to 523 of the family's 1533-position model. The record is from RNAcentral.